This 21-nucleotide unclassified non-coding RNA is filed under the name synthetic construct. The record is from RNAcentral.
CCGCGCCCGUCACACCACCCG